UACGUAGGUGGCAAGCGUUAUCCGGAUUUAUUGGGCGUAAAGGGAACGCAGGCGGUCUUUUAAGUCUGAUGUGAAAGCCCGGGGCUCAACCCCGGGACUGCAUUGGAAACUGUCGCGCUCGAGUGUCGGAGAGGUAAGUGGAAUUCCUAGUGUAGCGGUGAAAUGCGUAGAUAUUAGGAGGAACACCAGUGGCGAAGGCGGCUUACUGGACGACAACUGACGCUGAGGCUCGAAAGCGUGGGGAGCAAACAGG
This 253-nucleotide ribosomal RNA is filed under the name uncultured Lachnospiraceae bacterium. RNAcentral describes it as "partial 16S ribosomal RNA". It matches the Rfam family "Bacterial small subunit ribosomal RNA", at positions 524 to 776 of the family's 1533-position model. The record is from RNAcentral. Lineage: Bacteria; Bacillati; Bacillota; Clostridia; Lachnospirales; Lachnospiraceae.